UACGAAGGGGGCUAGCGUUGUUCGGAAUUACUGGGCGUAAAGGGCGCGCAGGCGGCUUUGUAAGUUAGGCGUGAAAGGCCUGGGCUUAACCCGGGAAUUGCGCUUAAGACUGCGGAGCUUGAGGGUGGGAGGGGAUGGUGGAAUUCCCAGUGUAGAGGUGAAAUUCGUAGAUAUUGGGAAGAACACCAAUGGCGAAGGCGGCCAUCUGGACCACAUCUGACGCUGAGGCGCGAAAGCGUGGGGAGCAAACAGG
Molecule: ribosomal RNA, 253 nt
Filed under: uncultured bacterium
Lineage: Bacteria
Description: partial 16S ribosomal RNA
Rfam family: Bacterial small subunit ribosomal RNA
Source: RNAcentral